Cataglyphis hispanica is the source of this 510-nucleotide long non-coding RNA. RefSeq lists it as uncharacterized. The transcript has 3 exons. The record is from RefSeq and is a predicted model, not a curated record. Lineage: Eukaryota; Metazoa; Arthropoda; Insecta; Hymenoptera; Formicidae.
CAACAACACCACCAGUCUGUGAGGCCGGGUUCUACGUCGCACUCAUCUUCGCAGAUAUAGCAAAUGGCAACAAGUGGUAAAUUACCUUCAGAUACAACGAAAUAUAUCUAUUUAAAGAGCGAAAUAUUGAAGAGGACACAUGCUGUUUAUCGGCAAGCUUUAUGCAGCCUCGAUCCGCACACACACCGCAAGAAUCACAAAAAAGGCCAUCAAGAUUCAACAAUAGAGCCUCGCAAAUACUACAGUAAUACGUCUGUAUAUCGAAAUGCAUAUUAAAUAAAUAUUCUCACAUGACACACAAGAGAUCAUGCAAUGGUAUAAAAAAUUAUUAUUAUUAUCAUUAUGUCAAUGGAGCAAGUAGAAAAAAUACUUAUAUUAUUUAUAUUUAAAAAUGAUUAUAUUGAAAUAUAUUUGGAGUCAUAUUGAAAUACUCGGAAAUAUUUGAAAUGGAUAUUUCAUUUUAUUGCUAUAAGAAACGACCUAUUAAAAUAAUUCUAUAAAAAUUCUUGA